UCUUCAGUAACGUCAGUGUUGAGCCCUUGUAACCGAGUGCACAGCUGUCAUUCAGGAGCCGAGCCCGCCCCCAGAGUGACCUUCCUCAGCGGACACGCCCCGUCCACCUGUUCCACAGGUGCGCCCGGCAAGAUGGCGGCGGGGCGAGUUUCUGCGGCGUGAGGACGCCGAAAUGAGUGUCCUGUCUGUUUGAGCGUGCUCUCGAAGUUUUAGAAGUCUGCAUUCAGCGUUCUUAUACUACCUUACAUGUGAGAAAAACAUGUCAAGAACGAACCUCCAGUUAUGAAAGUG
This is a non-coding RNA of Lepisosteus oculatus (spotted gar), 291 nucleotides long. Lineage: Eukaryota; Metazoa; Chordata; Actinopteri; Semionotiformes; Lepisosteidae. The record is from RefSeq and is a predicted model, not a curated record.